GGAUCCUUCGGGAUUAGUGGCAGACGGGUGAGUAACGCGUGGGAAGCUACCUUGUGGUAGGGGACAACAGUUGGAAACGACUGCUAAUACCCUAUGAGCCCUAUGGGGGAAAGAUUUAUCGCCAUGAGAUGUGCCCGCGUUAGAUUAGCUAGUUGGUAAGGUAAUGGCUUACCAAGGCGACGAUCUAUAGCUGGUCUGAGAGGAUGAUCAGCCACACUGGGACUGAGACACGGCCCAGACUCCUACGGGAGGCAGCAGUGGGGAA
This 265-nucleotide ribosomal RNA is filed under the name Pseudovibrio sp. AU471_Ted3_MB20SE. RNAcentral's name for it is "partial 16S ribosomal RNA". It matches the Rfam family "Bacterial small subunit ribosomal RNA", at positions 72 to 361 of the family's 1533-position model. The record is from RNAcentral. Lineage: Bacteria; Pseudomonadati; Pseudomonadota; Alphaproteobacteria; Hyphomicrobiales; Stappiaceae.